CUUUUCAUCCAUCUUGCUGUGAACCCCAUAAGCAAUGAAGCUUCCAUGAUCUUCCAAAAGUCAAGGGCUUUUAAUAGCACUUGAUAUUUAUAUGGUACCUUUCAUCUGAGGACUGCAGUGCAUGUUACAACAUUAUCUCACCACGUUUUGCGGAGAAGGUAGGAGGCAGGUGCUAUUAACCCCAUUAUACAUAUGGGAAAACUGAGGCAAAGUGCUCUCAUGACCAACCUGAUGGUUGGAUCUGUCACUCAGGAUUAAGGGGAUAACUGCUGAGCCUCAGGACCCUUCUAAGGGAUUCUGGGAGAUUUAACCUAUUUUUUAAAGUCCUGAAGAGGAUUCUCUCUGAGGACACUUGUGAGUGGCCUAGUUAUGAGUUAUGAGCCGCAUCUUUUCCCUCCUUUGGAGUGGAGCCAUGGAAAGAAAGGAGUAAGUCACAGAGUGGAUGAGGAGGGGCAGAAAGGAGGAAGAAAGCCCUAGAUCAUUAUGGCCAGAGUCUUGCCAUUCACUAAAUAGCCCAGCAAGUGUUUAUAAUGCCCCCUAUUAGGUUUUUGGCUCUAUGCUUGAUGCUGGGAGAAUUCCAGGAAGAACAGAAUUAGCGCUCAUUGAUCAGUACCUCGCCAUUUCCACGGAUUCCUAGGAAAUAUGUGCAUUAGAAAGCACACAAACAAUGUUCCACUGUGAGGCACAAGUGAGAGAGCAAGUGAAAUAAGAUUUUAGGGGAAAGUAAGGUGAGCAAGGGUUUGAACAGCCAUUUGUUUCAAACCUGUGGGGGGUUUUAUUCAAGGGAAUGGGACCCAGUCUCAUUUUCUGGAACAGGAACAGCAGAUGGCCCGUGACACCAGAACUCGGUGGUUGCUGCGAGCUGGGCCAGUCCCAAGGGCUGUUGACCCGCAGCCCUCCCUCUGCGGCCCUGUUCCCCGGUUCCGUCGAGUGUAAAGAGGAGAACCCAGGAAGGCCUCUGCGCCUCGCCCAGGGUGAGGCCGAGUAGGACCCGGCGGAGGCGCGGCCUGCAGAGCCCCCGCCGAGCGCCCAGCCCAGCCAGCACCCAGCACCCUCCUCCUGCUCCUGGGUGCCACCCCUCUCGUCCCCACCGCGGGGCGCUUCCCCAAGUCUGCUGGGCUCCCCAGACAGCCUGAUGCUCCCCUAGAAGCUGAUGAUUGGUCUUGUUACCACUAAUAUUUUUUUAAGACUUUAUUAAUCUGAGAGAGAUGUGCACGCACGUGUGAGCAGAGGGCGCAGCCGGCGGAGGGGGAGGGGGAGGGGGGGGGGGAGGCGGAGGCAGACACCCCGCUGAGCGGGGAGCCCCAAGCUAGGCCGGCCCCAGGACCCCGGGUCCCCGCUGAGCCCAAGGCAGACGCCCAGCCGCGAGCCAGCCAGGCGCCCCAAUAAUUAGGUCAAUAUCAGCGAAUAUUCUAUUCAUUCUAGGUAAUGUCAUAAGCCCCAGUACGGGGACCCCUGGGCGGCUGCGCGGCUGAGCGGCUGCCUUCCACCCCGCUGUGACCCCGGAAUCCCGGAUCGAGUCCCGAGUCCCGCGUCGGGCUCCCUGCCUGGAGCCUGCUCCUCCCUCUGCCUGUGUCUCGGCCUCUGUGUGUGCGCGUGUGUGCGUGUGUGUGCGUGUGCGUGUGUGUGUGUCUCAUGAACAAAUAAAAUCUUUAAGAAAAAAAAAAAAACAGCAUAAAUGGGUGCAAUCAUUACUACCAUUAGUACGUUUAACUAUUUGAUUCACAAAAACCCCUGUAGGUUUAAUGGACUUGUCCAUGAGCCCUCAGGAAAUAGGCACACAUCCUCCCAGGCAUAAGCUUUUCUUAAUCAGCAAAGUUAAAAACCGAGUGAGAGAAUUCCUGCUCUGCGGCUCUUCCCGCGCGGCCCUCCUCCCUCCCGGGGCUGUGCGCCCUCACGAGGCCUCGGCGCCCUCUACUGGUCAUUUGUGGUUACAAAGGAGCCCCUCAGGCUCACCCAGAAACCGCUCUGCUCUGUCCCCUCCAGGGACACAUAGUAGCCCCAAAUCGGAUGUGGGGCUUAGACCCCAGGGCGCCUUCUGAUAUUUGCAAGUACUAGAGCCCAAAAAGGUAAAGAUGAAUCCAAAUUCCCCUCAACUGAUCAUUAGAAAAGGAGCCAAAAUAAAAUUUUGAAACACACAUGAAAGCUAGUUAGCAACUUCUUGGCAGAGGCUGAGACUUUCGUGCUUGAAUCCAAAGAGCCACAAAAUUACAAAUAGAUAUUAGACCCCAGAGGUGUGAAAGGAUGUGACACUCAUGUGGUUCAACUGCCCACCUGAUCUUCAGUUCCCUCCAACACAUUCUGCCAAAGGAGCCAGCCAGCCUGCCGUAGCCUGACUCAGGUGUCAGUCCAAGUCGAUGGUGAGAAUAGUCAGGCUGGCUCUUCAUGGGGCAAAACUGGAGAGGAAGUUCCCGUCAUCCUUUUAAAAAGGAAAAUAAAGAAAAGACAGUAUCUAUAUCCUUAAUUCCCUAUUUAAUUAACUAUCCAGUUCAUUAAAGGCAGAAGAGUUAUACAUGUGUCGUUUCAUGCUUAAAAAUCCCAAAUAAGUAAUAAAAGCAAAAUCACUUUUUCUGAAGUUAUUUCAAAUGUUGUAUUUCCAAUGUCAAUCUUAAAGAUGACCAAACAGGACUACCAUUUAACCAUGAAGGAUGGUACCUGUGUUUGUCUCUGCCCCCUCCUGAAAACUCCCUCCAAAAACACAGGACAAGAAUUGAAAAGGAUAAAAGAAUGAGAGGAGCUCUCAGAUAGGAAAUAUGAAUGUAUAUGGACAAGACGGAAAGCAAAUGCAAGUGUGGUCCCUAGCUUAAUCAGAAAGAAGGAGAAGCUGGACUCUAAAUGCCUAAGGAAGAGGACACUGAUGAGAACCCCAUGGACCCAGCUUUUCAGCCUGAAAAGGCUCAGGCACCAGAGUUAUCUGGUCAGGAAAGUGGAGGUGGAUGAUAGAGCUGAAAACAUCUUGUGGCUCAAGCAUCUUCUAGGGUCCCCGCAUCCAGCCAGCUGACAACAGAAAAAGAGGAUGGAGAAUCACACGUGAAAGAUUAUUAUGGGCCAAGCUGGGAAGUAGUACAUGUCACAGAAGCCUGUACUCCACUGGCCAGAAUAUAAUCACAUGGCCACACCUAUCUACCAGGGAGGCUGGGAGGCUGCCUCUCAGUCCAGGAGAAAGAGGGAACAGGAUUUGGUGAUUCUAUAACAGUGUCUGCCAUGGGCUGAGACUCUCCUAAUUGAUAGAACAAGUUAUAAAGUUCCCAGUGCUUGGUUACAGGGUGCUCACCAAAUACUAGAUCCUUUAUAGUCUUAAACCAUAACUCUUCUGGGGGCUAACUCUGCAUGUUUAAUAGUAAAUUGCAUAGUGUUUACUCUGCGGAAGCAUGGUUUUAAGUACUUCACACAUAUGAACUCAUUUAAUCCUCACAACAACCUGGGAGAUAAAAUAUUAUUAUUAUUAUCCCCAUUUUACAGAUGAGAAAACUGAGGGAAGGAGAGGCUUGUAACUAGCCCUGAUCAUGCAGCAACUUAGUGGCAGAGAUGAAAUAAGAAAUCAAAAAAAAAAAAAAAAAA
This 3561-nucleotide long non-coding RNA is filed under the name Canis lupus familiaris (dog). Its description in RNAcentral is "lncRNA (ENSCAFG00845020743.1)". Lineage: Eukaryota; Metazoa; Chordata; Mammalia; Carnivora; Canidae. The record is from RNAcentral.